Molecule: ribosomal RNA, 254 nt
Filed under: uncultured bacterium
Lineage: Bacteria
Description: partial 16S ribosomal RNA
Rfam family: Bacterial small subunit ribosomal RNA
Source: RNAcentral
UACGGGGGGAGCAAGCGUUGUUCGGAUUUACUGGGCGUAAAGGGCGCGUAGGCGGUCGUGACAAGUCACUUGUGAAAUCUCCGGGCUUAACUCGGAACGGCCAAGUGAAACUGUCAAGCUAGAGUGCAGAAGGGGCAAUCGGAAUUCUUGGUGUAGCGGUGAAAUGCGUAGAUAUCAAGAGGAACACCUGAGGUGAAGACGGGUGCUGGGCUGACACGUGACGCUGAGGCGCGAAAGCCAGGGGAGCAAACGGG